AGCAGCCGCGGUAAUUCCAGCUCCAAUAGCGUAUAUUAAAGUUGUUGCAGUUAAAAAGCUCGUAGUUGAACUUCGGGGUUUACUCAUUGGUCAGGCUUAAUUGUCUGUACUGGUGAGAUAAAUCUCUACCUUCUGAGGAACUUUCAUGCCAUUUAUUUGGUGUGGUUGGAAAUCAGGACUGUUACUUUGAAAAAUUAGAGUGUUUAAAGCAGGCUAACGUCUGAAUACAUUAGCAUGGAAUAAUGAAAUAGGACGGAUUGAUUCUAUUUCGUUGGUUUCUAGGGUCACCGUAAUGAUUAAUAGGGAUAGUUGGGGGCAUUAGUAUUCAAUUGUCAGAGGUGAAAUUCUUGGAUUUAUUGAAGACUAACUACUGCGAAAGCAUUUGCCAAGGAUGUUUUCAUUAAUCAAGAACGAAAGUUAGGGGAUCGAAGACGAUCAGAUACCGUCGUAGUCUUAACCAUAAACUAUGCCGACUAGGGAUCGGACGCAGUUAAUU
RNAcentral lists this unclassified non-coding RNA (496 nucleotides) under uncultured Acaulospora. Its description in RNAcentral is "SSU rRNA". It matches the Rfam family "Eukaryotic small subunit ribosomal RNA", at positions 569 to 1068 of the family's 1831-position model. Lineage: Eukaryota; Fungi; Glomeromycota; Glomeromycetes; Diversisporales; Acaulosporaceae. The record is from RNAcentral.